UGGUAGCACAGUUUUAGGUUUUAAUUGGGUAUUCAUUAAAGCAUUGCCACCCACUUCUCUUGACCAUGGGGCUGUGGGGGAAAGAGCUGACCGACACCUGCACCUCUCUCAUCUGCACACCUGGGUGCUGGCAUUCCCUGCACCAUCAGGCAGAGUGGGGAAAGCUGUGUGAAUUACUGAGUCCAUUAGCAGCCCUCCUUUGCUGCAUGGCUGUGAGCUUUCGAUGAGAGAACCCCAAAGAGGCUCUGGAAGUCACACGAGAGGGAAGAUGAACCAGAUGGCUUCUCUGCAAAAUUAAGAUUGGAUUUUAGGGCUUCAUAUGAUUUACAAGCAGUUGUUUCCUGCUGGCAGCAGAUUGUGUGCUUGCAAGGAGGACAUUUGAAAAAAGCCAGAAGUGGAGUGACACCAACUGGCACAGCUACCCAGCUCUAUGUGAGGACAACAAAGUGGUGCUUAAACAGAAGUGUGCUUUCACAUAGUGCAAUUAGAGAUGUUCUCCCUUAUGGGCUCUUUGUGCAGUUUGGAGGAGGAUGAGUCACAGAAGGCGAAGGCAGAGGCUCAGCUGGCAGGAUCAGCGUGCUGAAGGUCCAUGGCUUCCUACAGCAAUCCCACCCCUGGCACUGGCUGUGCACUGUGGAUGUUGGGCAACUGAUCAGAGAGAUAUCAAGCAAAGAAGUGUCAAUAAUUGUCUCCCGGAGGCAUUUUUCUACCCUGCUUCUACAGAGACCCUAUCAAACAAAAGACAACUACCAAUUGUUUUGUAUUCCUUUGGACUCAACUCACUAUACAGGAGAUGUAUGAUGACUCAGACAGCUUGGAUGCACUGCCCCUAA
This 833-nucleotide long non-coding RNA is filed under the name Phasianus colchicus (ring-necked pheasant). RNAcentral's name for it is "lncRNA (ENSPCLG00000021648.1)". The record is from RNAcentral. Lineage: Eukaryota; Metazoa; Chordata; Aves; Galliformes; Phasianidae.